Molecule: transfer RNA, 62 nt
Filed under: Physoderes impexa
Lineage: Eukaryota; Metazoa; Arthropoda; Insecta; Hemiptera; Reduviidae
Description: tRNA-Cys
Rfam family: tRNA
About the family: Transfer RNA (tRNA) molecules are approximately 80 nucleotides in length.
Source: RNAcentral
GGUUUUGUAGUCAAGUAUGACAUUAGACUGCAAUUCUAAAGGAGUAGAAUUUACCAAAACUU